Molecule: ribosomal RNA, 2791 nt
Filed under: Escherichia coli
Lineage: Bacteria; Pseudomonadati; Pseudomonadota; Gammaproteobacteria; Enterobacterales; Enterobacteriaceae
Description: bacterial LSU rRNA
Rfam family: Bacterial large subunit ribosomal RNA
Source: RNAcentral
UUAAGCGACUAAGCGUACACGGUGGAUGCCCUGGCAGUCAGAGGCGAUGAAGGACGUGCUAAUCUGCGAUAAGCGUCGGUAAGGUGAUAUGAACCGUUAUAACCGGCGAUUUCCGAAUGGGGAAACCCAGUGUGUUUCGACACACUAUCAUUAACUGAAUCCAUAGGUUAAUGAGGCGAACCGGGGGAACUGAAACAUCUAAGUACCCCGAGGAAAAGAAAUCAACCGAGAUUCCCCCAGUAGCGGCGAGCGAACGGGGAGCAGCCCAGAGCCUGAAUCAGUGUGUGUGUUAGUGGAAGCGUCUGGAAAGGCGCGCGAUACAGGGUGACAGCCCCGUACACAAAAAUGCACAUGCUGUGAGCUCGAUGAGUAGGGCGGGACACGUGGUAUCCUGUCUGAAUAUGGGGGGACCAUCCUCCAAGGCUAAAUACUCCUGACUGACCGAUAGUGAACCAGUACCGUGAGGGAAAGGCGAAAAGAACCCCGGCGAGGGGAGUGAAAAAGAACCUGAAACCGUGUACGUACAAGCAGUGGGAGCACGCUUAGGCGUGUGACUGCGUACCUUUUGUAUAAUGGGUCAGCGACUUAUAUUCUGUAGCAAGGUUAACCGAAUAGGGGAGCCGAAGGGAAACCGAGUCUUAACUGGGCGUUAAGUUGCAGGGUAUAGACCCGAAACCCGGUGAUCUAGCCAUGGGCAGGUUGAAGGUUGGGUAACACUAACUGGAGGACCGAACCGACUAAUGUUGAAAAAUUAGCGGAUGACUUGUGGCUGGGGGUGAAAGGCCAAUCAAACCGGGAGAUAGCUGGUUCUCCCCGAAAGCUAUUUAGGUAGCGCCUCGUGAAUUCAUCUCCGGGGGUAGAGCACUGUUUCGGCAAGGGGGUCAUCCCGACUUACCAACCCGAUGCAAACUGCGAAUACCGGAGAAUGUUAUCACGGGAGACACACGGCGGGUGCUAACGUCCGUCGUGAAGAGGGAAACAACCCAGACCGCCAGCUAAGGUCCCAAAGUCAUGGUUAAGUGGGAAACGAUGUGGGAAGGCCCAGACAGCCAGGAUGUUGGCUUAGAAGCAGCCAUCAUUUAAAGAAAGCGUAAUAGCUCACUGGUCGAGUCGGCCUGCGCGGAAGAUGUAACGGGGCUAAACCAUGCACCGAAGCUGCGGCAGCGACGCUUAUGCGUUGUUGGGUAGGGGAGCGUUCUGUAAGCCUGUGAAGGUGUGCUGUGAGGCAUGCUGGAGGUAUCAGAAGUGCGAAUGCUGACAUAAGUAACGAUAAAGCGGGUGAAAAGCCCGCUCGCCGGAAGACCAAGGGUUCCUGUCCAACGUUAAUCGGGGCAGGGUGAGUCGACCCCUAAGGCGAGGCCGAAAGGCGUAGUCGAUGGGAAACAGGUUAAUAUUCCUGUACUUGGUGUUACUGCGAAGGGGGGACGGAGAAGGCUAUGUUGGCCGGGCGACGGUUGUCCCGGUUUAAGCGUGUAGGCUGGUUUUCCAGGCAAAUCCGGAAAAUCAAGGCUGAGGCGUGAUGACGAGGCACUACGGUGCUGAAGCAACAAAUGCCCUGCUUCCAGGAAAAGCCUCUAAGCAUCAGGUAACAUCAAAUCGUACCCCAAACCGACACAGGUGGUCAGGUAGAGAAUACCAAGGCGCUUGAGAGAACUCGGGUGAAGGAACUAGGCAAAAUGGUGCCGUAACUUCGGGAGAAGGCACGCUGAUAUGUAGGUGAAGUCCCUCGCGGAUGGAGCUGAAAUCAGUCGAAGAUACCAGCUGGCUGCAACUGUUUAUUAAAAACACAGCACUGUGCAAACACGAAAGUGGACGUAUACGGUGUGACGCCUGCCCGGUGCCGGAAGGUUAAUUGAUGGGGUCAGCGCAAGCGAAGCUCUUGAUCGAAGCCCCGGUAAACGGCGGCCGUAACUAUAACGGUCCUAAGGUAGCGAAAUUCCUUGUCGGGUAAGUUCCGACCUGCACGAAUGGCGUAAUGAUGGCCAGGCUGUCUCCACCCGAGACUCAGUGAAAUUGAACUCGCUGUGAAGAUGCAGUGUACCCGCGGCAAGACGGAAAGACCCCGUGAACCUUUACUAUAGCUUGACACUGAACAUUGAGCCUUGAUGUGUAGGAUAGGUGGGAGGCUUUGAAGUGUGGACGCCAGUCUGCAUGGAGCCGACCUUGAAAUACCACCCUUUAAUGUUUGAUGUUCUAACGUUGACCCGUGAUCCGGGUUGCGGACAGUGUCUGGUGGGUAGUUUGACUGGGGCGGUCUCCUCCUAAAGAGUAACGGAGGAGCACGAAGGUUGGCUAAUCCUGGUCGGACAUCAGGAGGUUAGUGCAAUGGCAUAAGCCAGCUUGACUGCGAGCGUGACGGCGCGAGCAGGUGCGAAAGCAGGUCAUAGUGAUCCGGUGGUUCUGAAUGGAAGGGCCAUCGCUCAACGGAUAAAAGGUACUCCGGGGAUAACAGGCUGAUACCGCCCAAGAGUUCAUAUCGACGGCGGUGUUUGGCACCUCGAUGUCGGCUCAUCACAUCCUGGGGCUGAAGUAGGUCCCAAGGGUAUGGCUGUUCGCCAUUUAAAGUGGUACGCGAGCUGGGUUUAGAACGUCGUGAGACAGUUCGGUCCCUAUCUGCCGUGGGCGCUGGAGAACUGAGGGGGGCUGCUCCUAGUACGAGAGGACCGGAGUGGACGCAUCACUGGUGUUCGGGUUGUCAUGCCAAUGGCACUGCCCGGUAGCUAAAUGCGGAAGAGAUAAGUGCUGAAAGCAUCUAAGCACGAAACUUGCCCCGAGAUGAGUUCUCCCUGAC